AUGCCCAGUAUACCAAAUGUGAACAGAUGUUUGUUCACACUGCAGGAGGUUUUUGUACGACCACUUAAUGAGUUUGUAUCACUGUGGUGGACUUUUGGUGGAGGAACCAAACUCAUUGUUCACUCUGGCCCCAUGGUCAGGCCCUCAGUCUCUCUGCUUCCUCCCUCCUCUGAGCAGAUCUCUGAGGGGUCGGCCACGCUGUCCUGCCUGCUGACCGGCUACUCUCCUCAGGGAGCCGUGGUGAGCUGGGAGGUGGACGGUACAGAGGUGACAGAGGGGGUCCUGACCAGCUCAGAGGAGGAGAAGAGUGGACGUUACAGCAGCAGCAGCAUCCUGAGCCUGAGCCAGAAGAGCUGGAUGAAAGGAGAGCUGUUCUCCUGUAAGGUCCUCCAUCAUGACCACAGACAGACCCAGUUCCUCCACAGGAGCCAGUGUGUGGACUAGAGGAGCCGACCGAAGCCCAGGACAGCAGCUGUGUGUGGGGGAGCAGGUGGAACACACCUGCUGCUCUGAUCAAUAUGAGUUUUAAUGUUUGUAGAAGAAACUAAAGCUUUGUGUGACACAGAACAAACUGCUGUAAAGUGGUGGUAACAACAACUUACAGAGUAAAAUGUGCAUCUCAGCAGCUGGAUGUGAGUGUGUAUGUUGUCGAUCAUUGUUUGCUAAUAAAGCUUGUUCUAAAUAUCAUUGAGUGAUGCUUCCUGUUAUUUUCAGAGAGGAAAGUUAUCAUUUCAAGGACAUAUAAGAUGGACAUUUAAAACAGUCUGUUGGAUUUUUAAGAUAUAUUUUCACACCUUUGUUUCAGAUUUUUAUUCAGGACACACUUUGUCUGAACGUGUUUGUCUGAACAGAACCUCAUGUUUUUCUUUCUUUC
Molecule: non-coding RNA, 874 nt
Organism: Melanotaenia boesemani (Boeseman's rainbowfish)
Lineage: Eukaryota; Metazoa; Chordata; Actinopteri; Atheriniformes; Melanotaeniidae
Source: the annotation of a RefSeq genome assembly